GCCUUUGUGGUGUAGUGGUCAGCCCGCUCGACGCGUAAUCGAGAGGUCCGUGGUUCGAUUCCCGGCGAAGGCG
RNAcentral lists this transfer RNA (73 nucleotides) under Stegodyphus mimosarum. It matches the Rfam family "tRNA". From Rfam's summary of the family: Transfer RNA (tRNA) molecules are approximately 80 nucleotides in length. Their secondary structure includes four short double-helical elements and three loops (D, anti-codon, and T loops). The record is from Rfam by way of RNAcentral. Lineage: Eukaryota; Metazoa; Arthropoda; Arachnida; Araneae; Eresidae.